CGCCCGCGGAGGCGGCGGCGCCCGGACCCCACUCCCGUUGGGCUCCCGGGUCCUCGAGGGCAAGAGAGACCCCGAAUCCCGAGGCGGGCCGGGACCUGGGCGCGGCCGCACCCCACACCCACCCUGGCUCGGGGGCCGGGCCGCGGGAACGCCCUCCCGGAAUGAAGCGCUUCCCGGUGCCUUCAAGAGUUCUAACCCCACCCCAUCGGAUUGGAAGUACCUAAGCUGCCGGCCCACUGUGUUUGGAGUGACUUCUCUCAGUCCAUCUCAAUUUAGACCACUCCCCAUGGAGGCAAAUGCCUUCCCGGCUUCCUUCUCCCCCCGACCCUGGCUUCUAGGUCUCUGAGAUCCUCCAGUGUUUUCGCCCCAGGCUCCUGGGAACCAUCUCACCCACCCCCUUAAACUCCCUCCCUCUAGCCUGGGAACCCGGAGGAAGCCCAUCCUGGAUCACCUCUGGAUCAAGAGUACUCUCCCUGUCUCCCCUUCUCCAAAUCCAUGUCCCCGCCUCAAUCCCCUGGCUGAAAUCAGCCAAGAAACUGUCAAAGCCAAAGGCUGAGGCAGCCAGCCACUCCUGCUCAAAUCCCUAACCCUGCUGGGGGUCUCAGUGCCACAUAAGCCACUCCCGCCCAAUUGCCUCCCACUCCUUCCCCCACCCACCUUCAAUCUAGCCAGUGUAACCCAGUGACAGUCCUUGAUGACAAGUUCCUUGCCCACCUUGACCUCCAUUCUCAAGUCACCCACCUUUUUAUUAAUGUGUGCUAGAGCUCUGGGCAACACAACCCUGACCUCUGUAAGGGUGCCCAUCCCCCUCCUCUUAGUACACCUCCCCUGCCCCCACCCCAACUACCUCUGGGAUAAGAACAUGAGAGACUCAAGUUAAUGGUUUCCUCUGGGACCUUCUGGGAACACUCAGCAGGUAUAUCCUGCCACCCUGUAUGCAUGACACUAGAAACAACUUGCUUUUUCCUG
This 969-nucleotide long non-coding RNA is filed under the name Sus scrofa (pig). RNAcentral's name for it is "lncRNA (ENSSSCG00000043997.2)". Lineage: Eukaryota; Metazoa; Chordata; Mammalia; Artiodactyla; Suidae. The record is from RNAcentral.